Molecule: ribosomal RNA, 512 nt
Filed under: uncultured bacterium
Lineage: Bacteria
Description: partial 16S ribosomal RNA
Rfam family: Bacterial small subunit ribosomal RNA
Source: RNAcentral
GACGAACGCUGGCGGCAUGCCUAAUACAUGCAAGUCGAACGAGAGGAAGGAAAGCAUGCUUUUCUGAAUCUAGUGGCGAACGGGUGAGUAACACGUAGGUAACCUGCCCAUGUGCCCGGGAUAACUUCUGGAAACGGAUGCUAAAACCGGAUAGGUAGCAGACAAGCAUUUGACUGCUAUUAAAGUGGCUAAGGCCAUGAACAUGGAUGGACCUGCGGUGCAUUAGCUAGUUGGUGAGGUAACGGCCCACCAAGGCGACGAUGCAUAGCCGGCCUGAGAGGGCGGACGGCCACAUUGGGACUGAGACACGGCCCAAACUCCUACGGGAGGCAGCAGUAGGGAAUUUUCGUCAAUGGGGGGAACCCUGAACGAGCAAUGCCGCGUGAGUGAGGAAGGUCUUCGGAUCGUAAAGCUCUGUUGUAAGAGAAAAACGACAUUCAUAGGGAAUGAUGAGUGAGUGAUGGUAUCUUACCAGAAAGUCACGGCUAACUACGUGCCAGCAGCCGCCGUAA